AGAGUUUGAUCCUGGCUCAGAUUGAACGCUGGCGGCAUGCCUUACACAUGCAAGUCGAACGGUAACAGGUCUUCGGACGCUGACGAGUGGCGAACGGGUGAGUAAUACAUCGGAACGUGCCCGAUCGUGGGGGAUAACGGAGCGAAAGCUUUGCUAAUACCGCAUACGAUCUACGGAUGAAAGCAGGGGACCGCAAGGCCUUGCGCGGACGGAGCGGCCGAUGGCAGAUUAGGUAGUUGGUGGGAUAAAAGCUUACCAAGCCGACGAUCUGUAGCUGGUCUGAGAGGAUGAUCAGCCACACUGGGACUGAGACACGGCCCAGACUCCUACGGGAGGCAGCAGUGGGGAAUUUUGGACAAUGGGCGCAAGCCUGAUCCAGCCAUGCCGCGUGCAGGAUGAAGGCCUUCGGGUUGUAAACUGCUUUUGUACGGAACGAAAAGCUUUCCUCUAAUAAAGGGGGGUCAUGACGGUACCGUAAGAAUAAGCACCGGCUAACUACGUGCCAGCAGCCGCGGUAAUACGUAGGGUGCAAGCGUUAAUCGGAAUUACUGGGCGUAAAGCGUGCGCAGGCGGUUUUGUAAGACAGAGGUGAAAUCCCCGGGCUCAACCUGGGAACUGCCUUUGUGACUGCAAGGCUGGAGUGCGGCAGAGGGGGAUGGAAUUCCGCGUGUAGCAGUGAAAUGCGUAGAUAUGCGGAGGAACACCGAUGGCGAAGGCAAUCCCCUGGGCCUGCACUGACGCUCAUGCACGAAAGCGUGGGGAGCAAACAGGAUUAGA
RNAcentral lists this ribosomal RNA (777 nucleotides) under uncultured bacterium. Its description in RNAcentral is "bacterial SSU rRNA". It matches the Rfam family "Bacterial small subunit ribosomal RNA", at positions 8 to 782 of the family's 1533-position model. The record is from RNAcentral.